This 492-nucleotide ribosomal RNA is filed under the name uncultured bacterium. RNAcentral's name for it is "partial 16S ribosomal RNA". It matches the Rfam family "Bacterial small subunit ribosomal RNA", at positions 29 to 507 of the family's 1533-position model. The record is from RNAcentral.
AGUGAACGCUGGCGGUAGGCCUAACACAUGCAAGUCGAACGGCAGCACAGUAAGAGCUUGCUCUUACGGGUGGCGAGUGGCGGACGGGUGAGGAAUACAUCGGAAUCUACUUUUUCGUGGGGGAUAACGUAGGCAAACUUACGCUAAUACCGCAUACGACCUACGGGUGAAAGCAGGGGAUCUUCGGACCUUGCGCGAUUGAAUGAGCCGAUGUCGGAUUAGCUAGUUGGCGGGGUAAAGGCCCACCAAGGCGACGAUCCGUAGCUGGUCUGAGAGGAUGAUCAGCCACACUGGAACUGAGACACGGUCCAGACUCCUACGGGAGGCAGCAGUGGGGAAUAUUGGACAAUGGGCGCAAGCCUGAUCCAGCCAUACCGCGUGGGUGAAGAAGGCCUUCGGGUUGUAAAGCCCCUUUGUUGGGAAAGAAAAGCAGCAGGUUAAUACCCCGCUGUUCUGACGGUACCCAAAGAAUAAGCACCGGCUAACUUCGUG